GGGGGGAGGCUGACCUUACUGGACUCGGUAGUCACCCAACUAUCCUUAUAUCAUAUGUCUAUGUGGCUCAUGAAUAAAACUUUCAUUGAUCGCUUAGACAAACACAGAAGAAAGUUUUUCUGGCAAGGCUGCAAUAAGAAGAGGAGGUACCAUCUGGUUAGAUGGGAUAGGAUCUGCAGAUCCAGAGAUAAGGGUGGCCUGGGUGUAAAGGAUUUACACAAACAGAAUGUUAGUUUGAUGGUCAAAUGGUGGUGGAAACUAGAGACCCAAACGGGUAUGUGGCAAGAUAUUGUUCGGGCGCGUUACUUGACUAAUAAAUCUGUGGCGUCGGUAAAGCCCAGUUUUUCUGAUUCCCCCUGUUGGAAAGCCCUGCUUAAAGUCAAAUAUAUCUAUUUGGUAGGUAGGAAAAUUCGUUUGGAAUCUGGUGACCUUCUUAGAGUCUGGAAAGAUUCCAUAAACGGGCUGAGUCCUUUUCAGACCCUCUACCCUUCGCUGUUUGAGAUCUGCAAUAAUCAGGAUUGCACUAUUGAUAGUUUCAAGUCUGUGGACGUCCACUCUUUCUUUAGAAGAAGACUCACCCCUGAAUUAUCUCGUCAA
RNAcentral lists this ribosomal RNA (597 nucleotides) under Triticum aestivum (bread wheat). Its description in RNAcentral is "partial small subunit ribosomal RNA". Lineage: Eukaryota; Viridiplantae; Streptophyta; Magnoliopsida; Poales; Poaceae. The record is from RNAcentral.